UACGAAGGGGGCUAGCGUUGCUCGGAAUCACUGGGCGUAAAGGGUGCGUAGGCGGGUCUUUAAGUCAGGGGUGAAAUCCUGGAGCUCAACUCCAGAACUGCCUUUGAUACUGAGGAUCUUGAGUUCGGGAGAGGUGAGUGGAACUGCGAGUGUGGAGGUGAAAUUCGUAGAUAUUCGCAAGAACACCAGUGGCGAAGGCGGCUCACUGGCCCGAUACUGACGCUGAGGCACGAAAGCGUGGGGAGCAAACAGG
Molecule: ribosomal RNA, 253 nt
Filed under: uncultured bacterium
Lineage: Bacteria
Description: partial 16S ribosomal RNA
Rfam family: Bacterial small subunit ribosomal RNA
Source: RNAcentral